GACGAACGCUGGCGGCGUGCUUAACACAUGCAAGUCGAACGGAAAGGCCCUGCUUGCAGGGUACUCGAGUGGCGAACGGGUGAGUAACACGUGGGUGAUCUGCCCUGCACUUCGGGAUAAGCCUGGGCAACUGGGUCUAAUACCGGAUAGGAGCCAUUUUUAGUGUGAUGGUUGGAAAGUUUUUUCGGUGUAGGGUGAGCUCGCGGCCUAUCAGCUUGUUGGUGGGGUAAUGGCCUACCAAGGCGGCGACGGGUAGCCGGCCUGAGAGGGUGGACUGCGACAUUGGGACUGAGAGGCGGCCCAGACUCCUACGGGAGGCAGCAGUGGGGAAUAUUGCACAAGGGGCGCAAGCCUGAUGCAGCGACGCCGCGUGGGGGAUGACGGCCUUCGGGUUGUAAACUCCUUUCGCUAGGGACGAAGCUUGUUGUGACGGUACCUAGAUAAGAAGCACCGGCUAACUACGUG
RNAcentral lists this ribosomal RNA (465 nucleotides) under uncultured bacterium. Its description in RNAcentral is "partial 16S ribosomal RNA". It matches the Rfam family "Bacterial small subunit ribosomal RNA", at positions 28 to 507 of the family's 1533-position model. The record is from RNAcentral.